Astatotilapia calliptera (eastern happy) is the source of this 409-nucleotide long non-coding RNA. The record is from Ensembl. Lineage: Eukaryota; Metazoa; Chordata; Actinopteri; Cichliformes; Cichlidae.
CUCAAACCCUUCAGGAAGAAGGAUUUGAUCCUUCAAUGGAGGUUUGUUACUAGAGUAAUGAAGCAAUGCCUCUGCAGAUGCAGUACACAUCAAGACGUGAGACUUAUGAAGAGUUGCUGUAUUCACCUUGGCUCACGCUCCACCUCCGGACUCAGGAUACCAAGCAAUCAUUCUGAAAAUCUCUCUGUGCCUCACCGGUAGUGAUGGGCAGAUGAAGCUUCAUGAAGCACUGAAGCUUUUCAUCCAAUUGGUUCACUCCAGUGCAAAGCUUCUUGAAGCUUCAUUUGCUCUAGUAGGACACCUACUGGACGUAAAAAUAGUAGUUGGCAUGAAUUUGAAGAGUGUGGCCUUUUGCACACAGCCUGUAAAUGUCAACAACAAAAGGAGUGUGUAAAACAUGUAUAUUGUA